Mirounga angustirostris (Northern elephant seal) is the source of this 21957-nucleotide long non-coding RNA. RefSeq lists it as uncharacterized. The transcript is spliced from 2 exons. The record is from RefSeq and is a predicted model, not a curated record. Lineage: Eukaryota; Metazoa; Chordata; Mammalia; Carnivora; Phocidae.
CAACAGAAUCUCUGUGUUACGUUGCCCAUAAAAAUAUUGAAGAUGCUCUAGUUGAUGAUUUAUGAGUAAGUCAACUGCUCUUUGCCACUUCCACUUCAAGGUGUAAUGAGCUAACCAUCCCUUCUGCCGUCUCACUCCACCCAACUGCACUCUGGUCACAUUCCCCGCUCUCUGGUGAAGCCAUAGAUUACUCAGCAGAACCCUGAGGCAGGCUUCAAAGGGUGAGGUUUCUAUCCCACUAACCAGACGCUCUCCCUCCCUGAGGGCCAGCAGCACUGAUCCUUCCUUGGGCUCUUUCCCUUGCUUUCAUGACUCCAUGCUUUCCCCUACUUACCCUUGCGGAGGAACACAAGGAGUUUUCUGAAAUCAAAAACAGGUAUGUUCCCUCUAGAUAUUUUAAAUUUUAGCUCCUUCCUUUCUAAUAACCCCUUCCAGAAAUGUCAGUAAGGGAUGCUAAUCAAGUUAGUGGUUUAUUGAAAGCAGACUACUUUCAGCACAAUGUUGGGCUCUGCUGGGAACCAUCUAUGACAUAGCUGCUAUUCUCAGACUUGUAAUCUAAUUGAGAGACAAGUAGUGCUCAUCCACUCAUUCCUAUGGACAUUCAGUACACAAUUCUUGAGUGCCUACUGUAUGCUAGGUAUUAGGGAAACCAUACAAGUGGUUUCCAAACUCUGAGCUCUGGCCCCCCGGGGCAGGAGUUAGGGAAUGGAGUUAUGACAGAGGGUUGUAAAUCCACAUAUGUCACAGUGUCUGCACAUUUUUAUUCUCUUCUUAUUCAUGCAUUCAUUUGACAAAUAGGUACUGAGUGUUUAUAAACUUAGAAUAAUGUCUCAGAUGUGUCUGUGUAUUUUCCAAAAGCAUUUGGAUGCAGUUGUGAUCAAUUAAAAACAAAUCCACUUAAAAGUUUUACUGAAUUUGAAAUGUCCUUUUCUCACUGAGUAUUUUCUGGGUCAGUGGACACCAGAAGUUCAUUCUCACCAUGGACCUGCAGAGAAAGAGUUAACACUUUUAAAAUGUGUUCUUAUACUGGAAAAUGUGGGAACAUCUGCAAGAGAAGGUUAACAGAGAGUCCAUAACAAUACCUGAAGGUGUGGGUUUUGUAGGAUGACAGGCAGGAAUGUGUAGGCAAAGAAACCAGGGAGGUGUGGGGGGGAAGCACAGAAGCAUGGGCGGGCACCAACGCUAUAUUUAAACAACCCUUACCUAUGUUGGUCCACGGUAUGAAGACCACAUUACUUUAAAAUAUGCACAUAAACUCUCUCUUCUAAAACGAUUUAGUGACAAGUUAUUUUAUAAAAUUAGUAUAUCUAUCAUAACAAAUAAAUAAUCCAGAACAUCUAAAUCUCCACCUUACUACCCAAUCCUGAUUAUUUAGCUCCAUUUACGUAACAUAGGUUUUUCUAAAGCAAAAUAUACUACAGUCGUCUGUGUUCAUCAUUCUUUAUACUUUUCCAAGGGCUUUCCCUAUACGUGGUUUGACUGAGCAUCACUAGAACGAUGAGAUGUGGACAGGACAGGACAGGACAUUAUUCUGAUUUUAUAGAUAAAGUUAGAAUGCUGAAGAAUAGACAAUGAAUUACAAGGAUACAAAAGUAGGCAAGGGUUAGCUAGGUAAAAUUGGCAGGAAAGUGGAUUACGAAGAAAUGUAAAAUGGCCCUGGGAUGCAGAAUCUGGAAUUUGGGAAAGAGGAGGUAAGCUAAAAUCCUGUGCUUCUACGGGCGGGCCAUCAUGAGAGUUCUAAAAAGACUGUGCUCAUAUUAAACACCAAUCUCUUAAAAUAGAAAAAGAGACAUUUUAAGAAGGGCCUAGAAAAAAAGGCAACAACAAAUAUUUUUUAAAAAAUGGAAAAUAAAAUCUAGAAAAGACAGUCCAACAAGCAGAGGGAUGCACGGCAGGAAAAUUAAGGGCAACUAAGUGAGGUUCAAGUUGGCUAAAUGGAAUUCAACCCAGUAGGACUUUCUGUUAACUGUACUUUCAUGGAACAAUAAUUCAUGUGGCCUUAAAAAAGUCCAAAAGAUUAAACUAUAUUGGGUCUCAUUUCAGGUGAUGCAUAUUUAAGUGAAAGGCAUCACUGUCAAAAGAAUGAGCUUGGGUUUGAAUUUUGCUUUCAACACACAUUAGCCAUUAGGCAACUACUUAAUACUUAAACUGUCUGAGCUUUGUUUUUGUUUUUUUUCCAUCUCUAAACUGAGUAUGAUAACAUUUCCCUUGCAUGGUUGCUGCAAAGAUUCGAGAUGUUAUAUGCAAAGCACCUAGUAAACUACGCAGGACAUUGCAGAAACUCAAGCAGGGAGAGUUGGUAUGUUGGGUGGUGAUGCUAGGUCUAAUUUAUAUGCAUUCUCUUGGCCUGAGCACUAGACUUGGAGUCAACAGACUCUAAGUUUUGGGUCCUGACUCUUCCGCUUAGUAACCAUAAGAUGAGAUAUUAUUAAAGGUAUUUAGGUUUAUUCAUCCUGAAUCUCUUUUUCUCAUGUAAAAAUGAGUAUAAUUUCCCCUCCUAUUUCUAGUUCAAGGUUAAAAUGAAAUGGUGUAGGUUAAGUUGCUCUUAAAUAUAAAUGUCGUAUAAAAAGAAUACCAUUGCUACUAAAGUCUUUAAGUGACCAAUGUGUCACUAUAUAUGUAACAAUUGUAUCACUGUAAUAAGAACAUAGGGUAGAAGUCUCUCCAUGUUUUCAGAAGGCCUAGUAGCAACAACAACAAAAACCCCUCAAAUUAUAAGAAAUGUUGAGUUAGCCUAGGGGAAAUUGUUCAAUUUUAUGGAUAAGGAAACAUUUGAACAGGCUUACAAGGGUCAUGGUGGACCGUCCAUCUGUAGGUUGACAUCAGAAAGGAUGAACAGCCUUCUGUCCCGAGUUUAUCAGAGAAUCAGAGGGUCCUCAGCCCAGGAUGUACCAGAGAUUCGGCACAUUCAGAGGCAGAAGAAGGCAAGAAGCUGUGGAAACAGGAAUCGCAUAAGGGAAUGGACUCUCCAGAUGAAUCUUCAGCCACGGGCGCUCUGGCAUCAGCCCCCACUCUCUUUGCCCUGAAAAAUCUCCUCCCGGGAAUGACUGUCCUCUUCCAUCCGGAAGACUCUAUCAAUGUACGAUUUUGCCUCCAAGCCUUUUUGGAAGAAGGCAGGAAUAAAUAAUUUACCAUUAGAAAUCUCUUUCAAAAAGCCCCUCCCCUCUUUAAUGGUUAAUAAUAAGAGUGCCUACCUCAUGGGGUGGUUGUGAAGACAAAGUGAGUCAAUGAAGAAGUUCUUAUAACUGCCCAAUGUAUGCUUUAACACUGAGAAAUGUCAUAAAAGUGUUGGCUUCCUGUAUAACCAUGGUUAUUUCCACUUUACAGAUGAGAGAACUGAGGCUUAGAGAAAUUAAAUUACCCUAGCUAAGUCAUAGAACGUAGAGGUAGAAGCAAGAUUCAAAUCUAGGUCUGUCUCCAAAUCCUAUAAUCUUAACUACUGUGUACAAACAGUCAUAUGCCUAGCAUUGGGCAAUCAUUCACACAUUAGCAAGAAUUUGCUCAAGCACAUUGUUUUAUGCUGAAAAUCAACUCAGCUCAGCUGCACUCAGGAAACAGGAAUUUUGACUAAGGAGGGAGGCAAGUAGGUUAUUUGGGGAAAGAGCAGAAGAGCUGAUCGAGAGACCACAGCUGGGUAUUGAGUAGGCAGCCUGGAGGCAGUGACACCCAUGGACAGGAGAGGUAGAAAAAAAGAGCAGUUUAGGGGGAGUCAAAGAUGAAUUCUGACCCAAGUGAAAUUUCAUCUCGAUCUGACUCAGGAGAAGGGGGAGGAAGAGUUCUAUCUUUUUCCCCACCUACCAUCUCUUGUCCCACCCACGGUUCCAAAUUACUUAUUAGUACUCUUGGUAGACUACAAGAAAGUUUAAAUAAACUUUUGUGGGCUGGCUGGAAACAAAAUGCUUCCACUCCCAUUUGUCUUGUGUUUCUUUUGGGAAAUGUGUGCUGAGUUCCCAACAAAUGACUUGUAAUGUAAUACAACGUCUCCCUGGGUUAGGCACCUUGCUGGGUGCUGGGAAUACCAAAGGAGAUAUAAGGCAAGGUGUGUGCCCUUGAGCAGGAGCCCCGAGGGGGAGAGAUGUGUAAGCAGCUAAGAGACAACGCGCUGAGUGCAACGUGCUGAGUAUAACAGGAGAGGUGUGUACAAAGUGCCUUGGAGCACAGAGGAGGGGGACGGGGAAUUGCUUUUAAAUCAACUUUCGGAAUCCAACCUCUCGGCAAGUUGGGAGCUGCAUGCAAUGCAUUAGAAGUUACUGUAAGGACGUACUCACCGUUUAGUACUGAAUGAACUCAUUCUUCAACAGGACUGUUGCCUGCCUUUUUCCUGGCAAGCAGUAAUAUCAGUAUCUGUGUUUUUUUCGAAGAGGUUAAGAGAGAGAGGUGAUUGCAUGGACCCUGAACUCAGACGGCUCUGGUUUGAAUCUGACUUUCACUUACUAGUCAUAUGACAUUUGCCUCUUUCGGUCUCAGUUUUUUUAUCUGUAAAAUGGGGCCCGUGAAAAUACCUUCUUCAUAGAGAAGAUAAAUGAGCUAACGCAUGCAAAGCCCAGCGCCCAAGAUGGAGUAAACAUCUCACCCAAAUCUGGCUACAACUCACUGGGUGACAGAUAUUAAUUGGCUUCAAAUAAUUUCACCAAGUGGAGCUGGGUUUCUGGAAGAUCGUUUUAAGGGAUACACAGACAAGCAUGUUUACAUUGUUUUUUAAAGAUUUAUUUUAUUUGGGAGAGGUGGGGAAGGGCAGAGAGAGAGAGAAUCUCCAAGCAGACUCCAUGCUGAGCACAGAGCCCGGUGUGGGGCUCAAUCUCACGACCCUGAGGUCACGACCUGGGAUGAAACCCCGACACUUAACUGACUGUGCCACCCAGGCGCCCCUUGCAUGCUCACAUUUUAAUAGCAUGUAUUUAUCUUCACAUGUUGGGGGGGGAAAUACAUAGAACCCAUCGAACCCAAAUUUUAAAGAUAUCAUUUCCUAAGAGGAAUAAAAAAAAAUUAGAAAUUUUUAGUAAAACUAAAAGAAAGCUAUUUAGGAAAUAAUAGUCAGAUGUUACAUCUUGUCUUUCAGAAUAAAAGUACCAAGCUGACCAGGAGACUUAAAUCACGGCUAGGACAGCAGACAGACGUUUCACUUUAAAUUUUUCUUCUUCUUUUCUUUUUUUCUUCCCCCCUUUUUUUUGCACUGGGCAUGGGCUUGAAUUCAUUUUAGUUUUCUUAAUAUCAAAUACAUAUAUGAAAGAACAUAUUAAAAGAUUUUUAUUUUAAAGGGAUAUGGGGAAAAAACAUCACAGAUUAGGAACUGCAGCAAGUGAUGGUCUCCCUUUCUGUGUUUUCUCCCUGUAAUGAAAUUCAAAACUCUCAUCGAGGACUCUGGGGAAAGGCACCAUUUUCUAAUGCCCUAACUAAAGGGAAAGUGCGUCUGAAUAGCAGAAAAGAAUGCCUUCUGCAUGCCCGCGCUUUCUUGGCCCCAAUUUCCAUCCUGGUGGAAAAAUUCCCUGAAGCCUACGACAGCUGAGCUUUUCGCCUGGAAUUCAGAUGAUCAGAAAAGGAAAAUUCUACCCUGACGUUCUGGGGGUACUCAAGCAGCUUGUGAUGCACACAAAGGCCAGAGAGUGGACCUGCCACCUGCCGCGUCCACCCCACAAGCUGGGGGAGCUCGAGCUCGACGGGAUUCGAGUUUGGGGGAGGCAGUGGGAAGGAGACAUAAGAGAUGAGGACAGGCGGGUGUCGACUCAUUCGCUGGGUUUCCCCCAAGUUGCAGUAAGGUCUCUGGGGCACACAGUUACCUCUACCCCUUCUUUGUAAAAAUUACCCCCAGGAAAGUCCCUCUGUCUAUCACAACAGUUAGCCUUUGAAGCUUAUGGAAUGGUCAUGCCUGGACGGGGUUUCCCUGGGGUCAGUAUCCCCAUCCAGGCUUCUCCUGGCCCAACUAUGUCACCUCCACUGACAGGCUUGAACAGAGCGGAGUGUGUUAAAGGCACACAAGACCAAGGGACACUAUGCAUGCUAUGUCUGUUAAGCAGAGCGGUCGCUUCAUACCAGCCUAUGCGUCUUCUCCUCUCUCACUCGUCCUGUGCAUAUGGCCUCCACUAACUGAGCAUCCUCCCCUGCCCUCCACCAACCUGGUCAAGCAGUCUUUUUCCCCCAGCUAGGAAAGGGAGAAGCAAUGAAUCCCCUUGUGGGUCCCACCCUGGGAGAGCAGGGACAGAGGAAAGAGUACUCACUGAUUGGGGGCAGCAGGUUUCAGAUAAAUCCUUUUAUUUCAGCCUCAAGAAUAGGAUUUUCAGGUACAAUACAGGACACCCAGUUCCAUUGGAACGUCAGAGAAGCAACAACUAACUUUUUAGUAGCAGUAUGUCUGAAGUACUCAUAAUAAAUACUUAGAUGAGAUGUUAUUUGUUAUCUGACAUUCCUAUGUAACUGGGUGUCUAUAUUUUCAUUUGCUAAAUCCGACAACCCUACUCAAGAACAACCUCAUGAGGCUGGCAUUAUUAUUCCUGUUUUAAAGAUGGGCAAAUGAGGUUUGGAGGGAUUGAGUGACCGGCCAGAAACCACAGUGCUUGCGGGCAACAGGGUAGAGAUGUCAUUUUUGACCCAGACCCACUGAUUUCAGGACCAAUGAUAUUUCUACAAUACCAAACAGGGAUCCGAGCCUUCAACAAAAGGACUAGAUAGGAUGCUGAUGGAGGAAAGUGAGACAUUCUCGAAGGAAUAUGGGGAGAUUCUUGGGUGCCUUGUCCAAAAUGUAGAAAAUCAUUCAAUAAACAGUGUGUGGCUGUAAUUGAAUUGAAUUAUUACCACGUUUGGUAGCUAAAAGACUCUGCUCCUUCCCUAUACACACUCCUAAGAAACACUUGUCCCCCCCUCCCAGCUCUAGUCCCCCUUCAACAGGACCCUUCAGCUCCUGCAGGGAGCACUUCACCCCAUGUGUAUAAGCAAUGGUAGAUGAGGUCAUUGGACACAGCUCCAAAAGAAGAUUCGAGUCAUGUUACAUCCAUUUAACACAUGGAGGAAACCCACAGGGCUGAAGGAAUUGGCUGGCCCAAGGAAUAAACCUGUCCUCUUUCAGCUGGACAACCUUCAAAGCUCAGUGUGUGUAGCUUAGUCACCUUGCUUGAACCAGGCCGCCUCACCAGAACUUGAAAAUAUCGAUGUGCACUUCAGUUGGUGUUGUUUUAGGAUAGCAGAGGCUGUGGGGAUAAAGAGAGGGAAGGGGUAUUCUCCUAGAACUCUUUCUCACUUGUACGUAAGAUCAAUCAGUAGAAACCUUCUGCCUGGUUUCCUUCUUAAAUCUAUGAAGCUCUAUGAAUCUGGACACAGGCCUCUUUUGGGAGUACAUACAGCUCAGAGAUGCCCACAAACCUCCAGGUCCCAAGGGAAAUUACUGUGGCUCUGUACGUAGGGGGACAUCUUACCCUCCUCAUCUUAAGUCCCAGUCUUUUCCUCCAGACCCUCACUGGAGAAGCCACCCGAGGAUGGAGGGUAGCUAGUAAGAGCCAAGGAAAAUGGCAUUGAAAGAAAAUGUGCACCCAAAUCUGUCACCACCGGGAAAGUUGGCUACCUUAUAAUCAUUUUAAUAUCUGAUGAUGAAAGCAAUAAAUUCUCAUUGUGGGGAAAAUUUGAAAGUGCUAAAAAGUAUAAAGAAACAAAAACUACCCAUAAUCUCCUCAUGCUGAGAGAGAACCUCUCCUAAAAUUGCGGUGAAUUUCCCAAGGAUCUCUGUCCAUAUAAUAAACAUAAUUGGCCUUAUACUUCAUCUAUGACUUUGUAUUCCACUUUUUCUAACCUAACAAAUUAUAACUUCCCUCACAUCAUUAAAAACUCUUCAAAGAAUCUUCAUGACUUUGAUGACCCAUUAACAGAUACAUUGAAAAUGGCAUAAUUUAUUUAAUUAUUCUCCUGCUGCUAAAGAUAGAGAGUGUUUCCAAGGUUUUUCCCUAAUAGAAGUAACAUAGCAGUGAACAUCUUCCUCACAUACAUUUUUUUAUCAGACCCUCGGCACCUGUUCCCUUAUGUCUAAAAUCUAAUAUAAAGUGGCAUCCGAUAUUUGACCCAAAGAUAUGUGUCUUAUCAUGUUUUCUGUUUUUGCCAUGCCCUACAAAGGGCCCCGUGUCUUCCAGAGGCCCCACCAACUGAACUAGUUGGAGAAACACUGUGGUCGAGUAUUGAGCAAGGACUACCUAGUCCCUUGUCAAAUGAAGGGGGCUUCUUCACAGCCGGGAGUUCCAAUCCCCUGUAGACUCGGGCCGUGGUUUGUAAGAGAGAGACAGAGACAGAAACAGAGAGAUAGAAACAGAGAGAGAGAAAAUCCCAGGAACCAUUCUCGGAGAAAGCACCGCACAAUGUAAUGCCGCUGGGAACGUGACAAUAAAAAUCCUCAGAACUGUGCCGCUUGGUAUUUUUACAGAACCAUUGCUUGCUGAUUCAGUUAAUGAUAAUGUUGGGUUCCAAAUUUUUUCCAAAAGGGAGUCUUAAGUGUUCUCAACUUGGACGGGGCUGGCUUAAAAAUAAACAAAUAAGUUAUAUAAGUCCAAACUUUGGAGGAUCAGGUUUUAGAAGCCCAAGCUCUGGCGUCGGAUUAAAGGGGCCCGCUCACUUCCUGUGGUGGGGCCUCACGUGCAGCCUUCAGGGAGGAGCAACAAGAGAACAUUCCAGCGGUCCCUGAAAUCCAGCUUCUAAUUUGAGCACCAACACCCACCGGGAACCGUGCAGAGGGCACCCCGCAUCGCAGGGCUUAGAAGACAGGGGAGAGAGACAAAAAAGCAAGUGCCACCACGGGUAGCUGGGGACGUACUUCUCUUUCUUUGCUUUCUCCCAGUGUCAGAUCUUUGGAAAGGCUUAAUGGUGUUAUUCAAGAGCUGUCAUCUUCUGCUUGGCAUCUGGCUGCGUUUUAGUGGGAGGUGAACCGAUUACUUGAAAGCUUCUAAGACUCCUCCUCCAGGAAGAAAGACGUCAGAUUCCUCAAAGUGACCAGGGUGGAGGGAGCCCCACUUUGGGUCCAGCUGUGGGAACUUUCGAGGGACAGGAGCAGCCCAGGGCUCCGGCGGGGUUCAGAAUCCUCCAUGCACUCCAAGAGUAAUAAGAAUAUGCGAAAUGUCACAAAUGAGUGUCUCCAUUCAAGUAUUUAGGUAUCGCAGUUAUUGAGAGCUUUGUAAGUGGGAGGUGCUGAGGACCCAAGGAUAAAAGAUAAAGUACAAUAGACCCUGCCCUCAAAUUGCUGAUUCUCGCUGAGGAGAAUAGAUCUGGUCACAAAUAGCCAGGAAAUGCUACAUGCCCAUCACAAAUGGCAGUGGAGACGAGGGAUGGACACGGGCCAGGAGAGCAAGAUAAAAGCAGUACUCACUUCUAGCCAGUAACCGGCUUUCUGGACUGCGGGCCCAGUGUGGCUAUAGCCUCAGAUUUUCCAAAGCAGGAGAAUGCGAUUUUUCUGUAAAAUAUCCCCAUUUUUUUUUAAGCUGGCUGAAAAAAAUUGUUAACACUAUGCAAACUAAACAGAACAUACCCAUGAGCUGGAUCAGAACAAGCCACCAGUGUGGACCUCUGAUGCAGACUCUAUUUGUUAAUAUGGAGAAAUAUCUACCCUUAUGAAAAAAGCACUUUACAUAAAUAUGUUGAAUAUGAUCUUGUUCCAAAUCAUGCAUUUAACACAUAGGAAAAAGAUGGAAGGUGAUACGUCAAAGUGUUAACAAUAGAUUCUGGACAGCAGGACUAUAAAUGAUUUUUUUCCCUCUUGUUUUUCUGUCUUUAAUGACAUUUUUACAAUGAGCAUGUGUGGCUUCCAUAAUCAGAAUUUUCAACAAAAUUAAAAUUUUUAUAAGAACACCCAAGUGUUGUUUUAUUAUGAAACAGGUAAUAUAUUUUGAAAGCUUUAAGAAAUAAGGAAAAAUUAAAUAAGAAUAAGAAUUAUUGGAAAAUGUUAAGAAUAAUAAGGUUUGAGUAAUAAGAAAAUAAAUGGUGCACAUUAGACAUUUACAGUGAGCUUUACAGGCAUUAUUUUACUUAUUCUUCUCAACUUCUGUGUAACGGGACUACUGUUAUUCCCGUGCACAGGGGAGAGGAUGAGGCUCAGAGACAUUAAGUAACUUGCCCAACGUCACACAGCUCAUAAGUAGCAGAGCUAGAAUUCAAAACCCAGGUCAUCUGCAUCCAGAGGGUAUGUGUUCUCCUAACCUUAAGAAGGAGAUUAGUCCCCCACUUUCCAAGGUUUCAGUUUCUGAGUUUUCAGUUACCUGCAGUCAACUGUGGUUGGGAGACAGAAGAUCUUCCUUCUGACAAGUCAUCAGAAGGUCAAUAAUAGCCUCACGCUAUGUCCCAAGUGCCUACACCUGUCACCUCACUUCAGCUCAUCGUGUAGGCAUUUCAUCCUCUCCCAUCAUCCCAAGAAGAAGGUUGAAUACGGUACUAUCAGGUAUUUUGAGAGAGAAAGCGAGAAACCACAUUCACAUAACUUUUAUUACAGUAUACGGCUAUAAUUGCUCCAUUUUAUUAUUAUUAGUCGUUGUUCUUCAUCUCUCCCUGUGCCUAAAUUAAACUUUACCACAGUCUGUUUGUAUAGGAGAAGCAUGGUAUCUAUAGGGUUUCAGGCAUCCACUGGGGGUCUUGGAAAGUAUCCCCCGUGGAUAAGGGGUGAGUAUUGUACUAGAAGCAAAGUGAAUGAGGAAGGUCAAAGAGAUGGUGGUCUUUGACCUGAGCCUUGAAGACCCAGUAAGAGUUCCACCCGUAGAGAUAGGAAGGAAACAAUAUCGCAAAGGAGUUGAGAUGAUCCCAGGGGGCAGAGCAAGAAGUUCUGAUGAAGUGAGGUAAGUGGGCUGGAGACAGUCACGAGAGUCGGAAGUACUAAAUGCCAGGCAGGCUAAAGAGUUACACUAUAUUUAUAGUCAGUGGGAGCCAUUGACAUUUCCAGUACCAGAAGGAGAUGGGUGCCAUGGUGUUAUUAACUUGCUGGGACCGCCAUAACAAAAUACCACAGACUGCGGGGCUUACACAACAGAAACUUAUUUUCUCACAGUUUUGGAGGCUGGAAGCCCAAGAGCAAGGGCAAGCUUGGUUUCUCCUGAGGCCUCUCCCCUUGGCUGGAAGAGGGUCUCCUUCUCACUGUGCCCUCCCAUGACCUUUCUGCUGGCGUCCCGCCUUCCCCUUCUCCUAAGGACACAGUCAGAUUGAAUUAAAGCCAACCCAAAUAGCCUCGGUUAACUUGAUUUCCUUUUUCAAGGCCCUGUCUCCAAACACAGGCACAUUCUGAGGUACCGAGGGUUAGGACUUCACAUGAAUUUGGUGGAAAACCCAGACCAUAGACACCGUUCUCAUCUCUUUCCCUCCUCCCCAUUUUCCUCAGUACCAAACAGCCCAGCGUGAACAAUGACCAUCUCUGCGCUGGGACCCUCAACACUUAUCACUGAGAAAUGUGUUAUGAAUUACUGCUAAGAUUUCUCUCCUGAUUCUCCUGGAGCUCUGGGAGUUCAGAAGGCCAGUCGGUGUUGGCCCAUGAGGUCACAUGCAAAAAAGCACAGUCCAAAUAGCCAUAGGGGAUUUUCAAAAAUAUUGUAAUCUCUGACUUGCAUCUUCCCAAGCAAACUUAAAGAGGACCCAAAUCAUAACCCUCCAGCCACACGGGUAAGCCUAAUUCUCCCUACUCACGGCAGCUACUUCCUUUCUUCCCUCUAAACCCCUAGACUACAAAGACAAUUCUCUCCCCUCGCCUCUUCCAACCUCCCAACUUUUUAUUAUUUAAUUCCUUUCUACAGGAAUCAGGGCACAGGGUCAUAUUAAUAAUUGUCUACCUCGGGGCACCUGAGUGGCUCAGUCCGUUAAGUGUCCAACUCUUGGUUUCAGCUCAGGUCAUGAUCUCAGGGUCGUGAGAUCGAGCCCUGCAUGGGGUUCUGUGGUCAGCGGGGAGUCUGCUUGAGAGUCUCUCUCUUCCUCUGCCUCUGCCCUUCCCCCCCUAAAAUAAAUAAAUCUUUCAAGAAAAUAACCGUCUACCUCAUCACACGCAGAUAUGUCUCCCUAACACCACUAACACAAGGCGGCGUUGGCAUAACCCCUUGUAAACCAAAGCUUUUUUUCACUUCAAUUCUAUCUCCUGACGCUUCUAGCAACUCAGGCAACUAGAAGGCAAUUUCAUCUUUGGAGGCUGGGGGAAGAAUGAGGUUUUCAGAAAUUUUUCUGACAAACUUAAGGUUGGCUAGUGGUGGGGUAGGAACUUGCCGGUCCCUACAGCCUUCUUCCCAGGACUCGACCCAGGAUGCUUCUAUUCUCAAAACAGGUGGCAAUGGGGGUUUGGCCCACAGCCCGGAAGUGCCCCAUAUAAUAUUAAGAACAUUGAAAUAUCCCAGAGUUGCCCCAAAGUAAUUUUCUUUUUUUUUUUUAAGAUUUUAUUUAUUUAUUUGACAGAGAGAGACACAGCGAGAGAGGGAACACAAGCAGGGGGAGUGGGAGAGGGAGAAGCAGGCUUCCCGCGGAGCAGGGAGCCCGAUGUUGGGCUCCAUCCCAGGACCCUGGGAUCAUGACCUGAGCCGAAGGCAGACGCUUAACGAUUGAGCCACCCAGGCACCGCCCCCCCCCCCAAAGCAGUUUUCCCUUGCCAGAAAGCACAGUAAGAGAUGGCAAUCUACAUAUAAAUGCAGGACUUUUUUUUUUUUUUUUUUUUUAAGAUCUUUAUGGUGUUUGGGAGAGAGGGGGAAUUUUUUUUUUUUUUUCCAGAAGAGUUGUAUUUUUAAAGCAGUUUUCCUUUUGCAAAGUGGCAAACUUCCCUAGGUAUUUUUCACUCUCAAAAGUUCUUGCAACCUUUAUUGACACCCUCUGCCUGUGUCAAAUGGCAGGAGCAAUGGAAGUCAUUUGGCACACGGCAGGGAGAUGGCAGGGAAACAGUCCCUCCCCUCCACUCGGCUGUCAGGGUAAUCUGUUUUCCUCAUUGCUGCAAAGGAAACCGUAAGCGCAUUUUGCCCACUCCAAACCCCUGAAACUGGAGUUAUGAGGUCGGAUGGAGGAGGCCAGGAAAAAUAAUUUCUUGGGGUGGUUUGCUGCUUUCUGAGGCCUUUUACUAGUGACCUGUAAUACUAAUUACCCCGCUUUCCUGUCUGAAUAAGACAUCUUUAUGAUGAUUCACGGCUGUGGAAGUCAGCUUCAAUAAACAGGCCACUGAAAUUCAAUUCUGUUGCAUCUCAAAACUGGAUUCUUAGGAUCUUCACAGGUAAAUCCAGUCUCCUUGUAAUCCAGGUCAGUGUUAGGUAUAGACAUGGGAGCAGGAACUCCGAGGCCUUCUGGGGGGAAAGGAACCUCUGGUGGUGGCCCACUUGGGGACAAAGCAUAGAAUCAUUUCUUUCUGCUCUUUUGGGUUUGUUUGUUUUUAAAGGAGAUCAAUGUCUAAGAAAUCCUGGUUCCAUCAUUUAUUGGCUACGUAACAUUUUUUUGCAACUUUAUCUCUCCGUGCCUUGGUUUCCUCAUCUGUAAAAUGGGGGAAAUAGCAGUACCUACCUCACAGGGUUUUCAUGAGGCUUAAAUGAGUUAAUAUUUAUAAAGCAGUUAGACCAGUACCUGGUACAUAGUGAGGGCUCUCUGCGGAUUUGAAAAAUACACUUGGAGAAAAUAGUCAUGUUUAAUUAAAUCAAGCAGAGUGACCUGAAGGGCAAAGUUGGCUGCCUGUGCCCUGGGAUCUGAUGCUCUCUUUCCUGCAGAGUGAGCCUGAGUAGGACACCCAGAGGUCAGAGCAGCCCUUCAACAAUGAACCAAGAAGUGAGGAGGGAAAUGCACAGGUCCAGAGCCGGCCGUUUGCUUUCCCAGACCAGCGAACAAUCGUUCUCAGAAACAGUUAGCCGACUUCAAAAUUUUCCUCCCUAGAAAAGAAUUUUGAGGGAUGCUUGGGUGGCUCAGUUGGUUAAGUGUCUGCUUUUGGCUCAGGUCAUGAUCCCGGGGUCCUGGGAUCGAGCACCGCAUCGGGCUCCCUUGUAGCUCCCGGGAAGUCUGCUUCUCCCUCUCCCUCUGCCUGCCGCUCCCCCUGCUUGUGCUCUCUCACUCUCUCUGUCAAAUAAAUAAAUAAAAUCUUUUAAAAAAAUGAAUUUGAAAACUAUACCUCUGCACGCAUGCUUAAUUUGCCUAAACUUUAAUUUAUCAAAAUUUUAAGAUUAAAUGAUUGCAGAAGAUACAUUAUACACUAUAAAAAUUGACAUUUGAAAAGAAGACAGUUGUAUCACUAUUUUAAACAAAUCCUAUGGAGUUAUUAUCUCGGCAAAUAUCCUAGCAAUUUGCCACCCAUCAUUACCCAUUUAAAAAAUACACAAAUGGAAAAUAAAAAUUAAAAAAAUAUAUACACAAACAAGCUUUUCUUUCAUACUGAGAAAUCGUACAUUUCUCUUUUAUCUCCUUAAACUAUUCUAUUUGUCUUCCUCCUCGGAAUUUUAUCCUAAUAAAAUUUUUGUAAGUUAGUCUUCUGUUCAUCAUCCUGUUGUGCUUCUCUGCAACACACAUGUGAAUAUUUUUUCCUCUGGCCACUAGGCUCUAAAUAUAAAAAAAAGGAAAGAAAGAAAAGAAAGAAAGAAGGAAGGAAGGAAGGAAAGAAAGAGAAAGAAAGAAAGAAAGAAAGAAAGAAAGAAAGAAAGAAAGAAAGAAGAAAGAAAGAAAGAAAGAAAGAGAAAGAAAGAAAGAAAGAAAGAAAGAAAGAAAGAGAAAGAAAGAAAGAAAGAAAGAAAGAAAGAAAGAAAGAAAGAAAGAAAGAAAAAGAAAAAAAAAAGAAAGGAAGGAAGGAAGGAAAGAAGGAGGAGGGAAGGAGGGAUGAAGGAAGGGAGAAAGAAAGAGAGAGAGGUUCUUUGAGAUUUAAGUAUCAUAAGUUACUAGCAACAUACAACUGAUCAAAACAUCAUCAAUAUAUUUUAACUUUUGAUAUGUAAUUAUAAUCUCACAAGUAAUUUUAGUGCAUUUCAAUGAGAUGGGUGGAGAUAUUUCCCCCCAAUUAGUUAAUAUAUUCAAGAAUGACUAUCACUUACUAUUAGAGAGAUUAAAAUUAAUCUAAUUAAAAGAUUAGAAUCAUUGCUAUUCCCGACAUUCAGUUCUUUGAACUCCUUCCUAAGUGUAUGCCCCAAACACAAUAUAACUCGUAAGCAUCUAUAACUUUGAUUAGGUCUUUCUCCAAUUUUACUGAAAGUAAAUAAUUGAAAACCAUCUAAUUUGGGAAAGGAUUUGUUAUUCAGUCAUUAAUGUCUCAUUCUGUGAAGUAUAACCAAAAAGGCCAAGACUUGUAAAUUACUAUUAUUUUACUUGCUAUCUUUUCAUUUAGAGGCACUUUGUUAAAUUAGUUUCAGUAAGAGUUGAGAAAAUCAAAAUACUUAUUUACAUCUUUUGGAGUAGAACUACGUUAAUGUUUUUAUCUUGUGGGGUGCUUUAAAUAAAAUUUUGUCAAAAUCUUAUUCAGAUUUGGCUCAUUCAACUGAUGAAAAAUAUUCUAUCAUAUAACCCAAUUAUCAGACAAAUCAGCCAAGUUAGGUACAUUUCUUGUCAUUAAAAGUGUGACUUUAUUUCUUAAAUGAGUGUCUUAAUAAUCAUUUUGGAGAGUAUUAUUUAAAAAACCACUGAGAAAUAAAUUAUGGAAUGCAUCAUAGAAAAUAGAUUACUAAAAAGCAGCCACGUUUACAUUGAUAUAGAUCAGACAUAAUUAAUUUUAUAAUGAGUGUAAAACAGGAUAACAAUGCUGUUUCUCAUUACUUGAUUUGCGAUAAAAUAGCACACUAUUUUCACCAAAUUAUGUUAUUUGUGGAGCCAGAAAUGUGAUAGAAAGCAUGAUACUCUUUCUGUAAGUUGUGUGAAUCUGUGCUUCUAACUCUGAUAUGUGGCUUUGGGAAUAAUUAAAUAAGAAUUAUGUCCAAAAAUCAGAAGUAAUUUUGUUAAUUUCCUUAGUUCUCAUGCCUAAACUUUUGUUUAAUGAAGUUAUUUAAUAAGAAAGUAAUAUGUAUCCAUAUACUACUAAAACUAACCGAACCAACAUGUAUCAAAUACCUAAGUAUUUAUUCAUAAGAAGUAGGUAAGAUACGAUUUUUAUCAAAAUCAGCUCUAACAACCUCAUGGAAUAGCAUAUACAAUAUCUGAAAAAUGUAACCUAAAAUUUCUAUCUUCAGGUUUUAUGCAAUGUAUCAUGGAAAUCUUGGUGGUCCGAGAAAAUAUUCCAGUUAUAUCUUUUAAGAGUUAGCAUCAUUAAUUAGCCUGGACAGCUCAAUUGGUGUCAGGCACUUUCCUUUCCAGUUAAUGAUAAGUCCUAGGGAGGAGGAAUCAGACUUUUCUUAAAUACACAAAUUCUCCCAACACACACAUGCACACACAUAUGCACAGAUGUUGCCGUUAGUAGUCAGAUUCAACCACAAGAACAAAAAGAUUAUAGGAUACCCACCCAUCAGAUAAUAAUGGCCAAUAUUUAAUGGGCACUUACUAGGUGCCAGUCACCGUUCAAAGUUAUUGACAUAUACUAGCACUUAACUGGUCCUUAUACAGCAACUUUGUGAGGUUGGUCUGAUAAGCGUCCCCAUUACCAGAGGAGGAAAUGGAUACUCAGAGGCCACAGGACUGGCAGCUGGGGAAGGCAAUAUGUCAUCCAAGGGCGCCUUAGCUCAGUUUAAUCAUCACACACUUGGCCUUCCUGGCACAUGAGUUCAUUUAUUAUUACUUCCAUUCCAUAAUUAACCACUACUGGUCCGUAAUAGCAACCCCGGUGGUAGGCAGAAUAAUGCCCUCCCCAAAGGACAUCCAUAUUCUAAUCUCUGGGACCUGUGAGUGCGUGGCAGGAGGGCCUUUGCCGAUGUGAUUGAGUUAGGGAUCUUGAGAUGGAGAAAAUGUCCUGGAUUACCCCAGUGUCCUCAAAAGGUGUAUCAGGGAACGGGAGGCCGGAGAGUGAGAGUCAGGGGAGACCUGACCGUGGAAUCAGAGGUCAGAGUGAGUGACUGCUGAUUGUGAAGAUGAAGGAAGGGGCAUGAGGCAGAGAACAGCAGCCGCCCCGAGAAGCGGGAAAAGGCAAGAAAACAGGCUCUCCCCUAGAGCAUGCCGAAAAGAGCACAACCCUCCCAACCUGUUGAUUUUAGCCACAUAAGGACCAGGGCAGACUUCUGACCUCUCCAACCAUAACAUAAUAAAUCUGUGUUGUUCUAAGCCGCUAUGUUUGUGGUAUUAUUACAGAAGCAAUAGGAAACUAAUUCAACCGCCAAAGCACAAAGCAAGGGCAUCAAUCAGAGGAGGGCAUGAGCAUCGACCAACCAUCGUAUACAAGCUGAUGGCAGCACCAUGCUUGCUGCCAAAUAAAGCCGGGAAAUACGUUUGAGCAGCUAAGAAACAACAAAUAGGUUCUUGUUUCGGUUCUUGCCUCUUGUCUCCGUUUUGGAAUAAGUGAAGAUUAUCCAUGGAGAUUCUCAUUUUUACUUUUACAAAAUUGACUUUGGUGGUUCUUUUUAUGAAACUUUCCCCUUCUUUGCUUCAGUAUCAAUUUUUGCUUGAAGAAAUUUUUGCUUGCUUUUCAAAACUUUCCCUUUCCGAACAUUUCCUGCUGGGUUUGAGCCCUGACUCUACCAGUGAACUUGCUCCCAGACCAUUGGCAUUAUUAUAAUUGCUGCAGUAAUAAUUCAUGUAACUACUACCCCGUGCUCAAAGGAAGCACCUUCUCUGCUCUUACAUAAUUGCUAAUUCCGCUGUCAGACGGUCUUCCUGCAUCUCAAGCUCCACACAGCAGCCAGAGGGAGUUUUCACUCCAGAAAUCUGACAGUGUCAUUCCUCUCCUCCAACUCCUUCCCUGACUCCCACUACACUGAGAAUGAAGAACAGAUUGCUAAGCGUGAGAGCCAAGCGCCCCUCGUGAUCGGCCUCCCCUCAUGGUCUCCCAAACUCACCUGGCGUCUCUUUCCCAAGCUCUGCCAGACUCCAGCCCUACCACGCUGCUCAUCGCUCUGAAACGUGGCAGGUUCUUUCAAGCCUCUGUACCUGCACAUCCUGCUUUCUUUACCUAGAGCAACAUCUGCUCCCUUUUCCAUCAGGCUAAUGCUGUCCCCUCCUUCCCUGACUCAAGGAGAGAUCUGAUUGUUUCCCAGCAUCACCGGCAAAGACAUAGUAAUAGACAUACAGGUGUGAGUCCAGAACAUCCACCCAUUUACCUUUGAGCUGUGGUUUCCUAUGUCAUCUAUCUCUGAUUUCUCUGAUUUCCUGGCUGGAUACUGAACUACCAACCUCUGUUUUCUGGCUUUUUGGCUUUGGUCUUUUCCACUGGACCACCGACACUGUAAUGCUCAGUCCCUUGAACCUAGUACCAUCUGUAGCCCCAGGUAAGAGACAUUCCCAGAGGAUUCAGCCUCAGGUCAUAGCCACCCAUCCCCCUACACACACACACACACACACACACAGCCCAGAUGAGAAAACACUAAGGGACACUGAUAUAAUAACAAUAAUCUAUACCUAUUGGGUACCACAGCAUGCCAGGCAUUAUGUUAAGCACUUUGUUUCUUUCAUAAAAAAGAAAAAUCAGGGUUCCUGUGUGGUGCACUUGGUUGAGCGUACCAUUCUUGGUUUCAGCUCAGGUGGUGAUCAGGGUCAUGAGGUCAAGCCCCGUGGCCAGCUCCAUGCUCAGCAUGGAGACUGCUUGAGAUUCUCUCUCUCCCUCUCCCUCUGCCCCUCCCCACUCCUUCUUCCCCAUGCUCACACUCUCUCUCUCUAUAAAAUAAAUAAACCUUUUUAAAAAAAUGAAAAAGGAAAAGAAAAAUCACCUGCAGGUAUUAUCUUUUCUCCACUGACAGAUGAGGAAACUAAUUUCACUAAGAUGAAAUACCUUGUCUAAUGCCAUAGAGCUUUUAGUGAUCGAGCAGCUGGAUCACAUGACUUUUGGGAGUUCAUCAGUUAACCAGCCCCAGUCCAUUGUUUUCUGAUCCUGUGGACCCCCAGCCACCCCCACCACACUUGAAAGUACUUCUCUGAACUACCAAAGUUACUUUUCAUUUAGUUCACUGGAGUCUAAUUGUGUGGACCUGUGUGUCUCCCUAGAGACAUGAGCUCCUCAGAGUAGGGAUUGUGUCUUUCAAAACUGAGCACACAAAAAAAGCACAAAAAACGUCUUUCUAAACUAUUACCAGUGGUCCCAAAACAUAUCCAUUGCCCUAGCUUUGCACACCCUCCUUAACUGCAUUUAUGCAUACACCUACCAGGAAGCUAGGAACAAAAUUUUGGUCUCCUAUCAACCCUCUCAGUUCAGGUUCCCAGGGCAAUUAUGAGUUCUCCUUCUGAACUGAUUUUUAACUGGCAUAUUAGGUUGGUAUUGUAAGUCACUUCCAAAUCCCUCAAGAAAUCAAAAGUGUUUUUUAUUUAUAAAAGAAUGCAUAUGUAUGUGAGAGUUUAAUAAAAUCCUAGGAAAGUGAAGUUUAAAAGCUGAAAGGAUCUAUGGGGGGGCAGGGUCAGCUGGUUCACAUCUUCCUUUUUGCAGACAAAACAAGCAAGGUCAAUGCCAAACUUAAAAACUAGUCCCUGAAUACAUUUUGUGUUUGGCCCACCUGAUUCUUUUUUUAAGUUGAGUCAAUAUUUUUAAAUUGUGUGCUCAUACACACACACAUACAGAAAGAGAAAGUGGGAGGGAGGGAGAAAAAGGGUUGUGUUGGUUCUGCUUCUGUUGAAAAAUUGAAAUAUCUGGUAGCCUCUAGGUAUAUACCCAAGAGAAAUGAAAACAUCUGUCUAUGUGAAAAUUUGUACAUGAAUGAUCAUAGUGGCAUUAUUCAUAAUACCCCAAAGGCAGAGACAGUCCAAAUAUCCAUCAACUGAUGAAUGGUAAGUGAAAUGUGGUAGAUCCAUAUAAUCCAUACAAUCCCUAGAAUGGAAUAUUAUUCAGCCAUAAAAAGGAAUGAAGUGCUGAUACAUGCUGUAACAUGGAUGAACCUUGAAAAAUAAGUGAAAGAACAAGUCACAAAAGGCCCAAUAUUAAAUGAUUCCAUUCAUAUGAAAUGUCCAGGAUAGGCCAACCUGUAGCCAGGGAAAGAAGAUUAGUGGUUGCAUGGGGCUAGGAGAGAGCAGGAAUAGGAGUGGCUGCUAAUGGGUAAUGGGUCUCUUUUUGGAGUGACGAAAAUGUUCUAGAACUGAUUGUGGCAAUGGCUGCACCACUCUGUGAAUAUACAAAAAAACAUUAAAUUGUUUAAAAAAAUACGCACAUAUAGACAUAUACCUGCAUAUACAUGGGUGUGUGGAUAGAUAUAGACAUGAAUAUGUAGCAACAGGGGGCCCACAUAACUGUGGAAUUCUAGUAAUUAUUGGCUGGAUCUAAGUCAUGGCUACCGCCUUUGAAUGAAACUUCUUCCAAAGUCUCCACCACUCAGCUAUCCCCAACUACAAGCUUCACCCACUUCACUCAACUGUUUCCUGCCUGGCCUGGGUCUUUGAGUUUUCAGCUUUGGAUCAAGACUAUCAUGGAAUUUCAAAGAUAUAAAAGAUGUCACCAGUCUAAUCUCUUUACCAAUAGGACAACAGGAGUCCCCAUUCUUGUCAUGGUCACCAUCAUUCAUGGUCACCUCAUUCAUGGUCAUGAACACCAUCCUCUGCUUAAAUUCUUUCAGUGAGGGUCAUUCACUCCGUAGUAAGUCAUCCCAUUACUAUUGUUGCUACUGUCAUUACUGUUAAUAACAUUUAUGUAAGGACUUGAAAUUUACAGAAUGCUUUAACUGCUUUAUCUUGCUUGAUCGUCGUAACUAACCUGUUAAUUACUUAUUGUUAUCCACAGUUUACAGAUAAACACACUGAGAAAUUGGAUGACUUAUCCAAGGAGGUGGAAUUUGAGCUCAGAUUUCCUGACUUCAAAUUCCAUGCUGUUAUAGUAUGAAACAUUGCCAACAUACAUAAAAGUGCAAAAUCAAGUAAGAGACAUCCAGGUACCCACCAUUGAGAUUAAAGAGAUGUCAACUUUUGCGGUAUUUGUGUCAGAACUCCCCCAUGCUCUUUCUCCUGUGCUGGGGUUUACCAUCCUUGAGAGGACCCGAUCAUCCCAAUGUGGUGUGUAUAAUUAAGUCCAAUCCCUCCAUCAUGGAGGGCCAUUCUGUCUUCAUUUUAAACAGAUGUUCUUGAGGAUUUCCUUGGUUCAAAGGAAAUGUCUAAAGGAAAAGGAGGACACAGAGGGAAGAAUGAUACAGAAACCCUUGGUGAAUGUUCUUAUUUUAGCAUAUAUCGUUCGUGACAAUCUCUCCCUCUCAUUUUCUAACAAUUGGUUAACUCUACUUUCAAAAACUCCAUGAGACGGACCCAACUGUUUUGUUACACUAGAGUACAACUGUGUCAAAUAAGUGGGCUUUAACUAGGUGGGUACGGGCCAGGUUGUAGUAAAACCAAUGGUGCUGUUGUGCUGGAAUCUACUCAGUGGUUGGGGAAAUAACCUGAUGUGGGGUGGAGCAAUUUGGAGAGGCUUUUCCAACUCUACCACUCGUUGACUGUCCCAUCCACACAGUGGUUGGUGUCCCCGGGCCUCCUUUCCAUCCUAUGUAAAAUGGAGCUAAGAACACAGGCUGGACCCCUGUUAUCCCUGCCCCAGCCUGGUCCAGAUGUGCUCUUUCACCCAGCACAGCUAAGGAAGAAUCACCCUAUGCCUGGAAAUGCAACUCAUUUCAUGAGCUGAAUGCAAUCAGAGGGCUUAACCAACUGAGCCACCCAGGCGCCCUUGAGGACUGAGGAGCCAUCUCAAGAUGAGUCAUCUGGCUCAAGAGUUGAUUGUCAGUGGUCCUAGCCACACACUUCACCACCAAUAGCCAUUUCAUUUUAUCUCUGCACAGAUGUUCAAACCACAGAUUUCCUGGGUCUGCAGCCUCCCAGGAAAUGGAAGCCAAACAACAGAUGAUUCAUAUUUCCUCUCAAGUGGCAAGAAAAACUAUCUGCCACGGAAAUCGCCACCAACCUUGCAAGGCCCUGGCCUGAGGUUCUCCUUCCAUGUGCUCAGCUGAUGGGCUUGGGCUCGCCUGGGUCCAGAGACUGUCUGUCCUCCCACUG